AGCAACAUCAAAAGAAAAAAGAAACUGCUCCCUUCAGGAAGUCAAAGACAGAGGCAUCAUACACUUGGAAGUAUGAAGAAUGACAACGAAAAUGCUUAUGUAAAAAUAAAUUGUUAUUCAGAUGCAACAAAAAAAAAUUUUUAGUAAAAAAAUUGGCAACAAUUUAAAACCACCUCAAAAACACACACACACACACACAUAGAUCCCUCAUAAAUUUAGUUAUUGAAACCUCUUUUGAUAAACAUUAAAAUAAAUUGCUUAUUUGUAUGACUUGCUUG
This 278-nucleotide unclassified non-coding RNA is filed under the name Hevea brasiliensis (rubber tree). Lineage: Eukaryota; Viridiplantae; Streptophyta; Magnoliopsida; Malpighiales; Euphorbiaceae. The record is from RNAcentral.